RNAcentral lists this long non-coding RNA (241 nucleotides) under Elaeis guineensis (African oil palm). RNAcentral's name for it is "long non-coding RNA (EGUI_LNC079156)". The record is from RNAcentral. Lineage: Eukaryota; Viridiplantae; Streptophyta; Magnoliopsida; Arecales; Arecaceae.
UCUCUACACUUGAUUUACAAACUCAAUGAAGGAAUCUUGGCCCUAUCACUUUGAAAUCUGAUUUGAUCUGGUAGCCAAACUUUGAACCAUUUUGUUAGUCGGAUAGCAUAUCCACAUCAUCUGAAUUUUUUUUUAUCGAGCUACACAAGAUCCAAUCUUUGUUGAUCUCUAUUCAAUCCUAGCAUCUUUAGUGAUCUUAAUUAAAUAAAAAUAUUUGAUGGAGCUAGUCCCUAAUUAUUGG